This 309-nucleotide ribosomal RNA is filed under the name uncultured bacterium. RNAcentral describes it as "bacterial SSU rRNA". It matches the Rfam family "Bacterial small subunit ribosomal RNA", at positions 28 to 334 of the family's 1533-position model. The record is from RNAcentral.
GAUGAACGCUAGCGGGAGGCUUAAUACAUGCAAGUCGAGGGGUAACAUAGAAGCUUGCUUCUGAUGACGACCGGCGCACGGGUGAGUAACGCGUACACAACCUACCUUCAAGAGGGGGAUAGCCUUGGGAAACUGAGAUUAAUACCCCAUGUGAUUAACCUAUAAUAUGAUUGGUUAAUUAAAGUUCCGGCGCUUGAAGAUGGGUGUGCGUCCCAUUAGGUAGUUGGUGAGGUAAUGGCUCACCAAGCCGACGAUGGGUAGGGGGCGUGAGAGCGUGGCCCCCCACACGGGUACUGAGACACGGACCCG